RNAcentral lists this ribosomal RNA (212 nucleotides) under uncultured bacterium. RNAcentral's name for it is "partial 16S ribosomal RNA". It matches the Rfam family "Bacterial small subunit ribosomal RNA", at positions 326 to 544 of the family's 1533-position model. The record is from RNAcentral.
ACGCUCGACACCUACGGGGCAGCAGUGGGGAAUAUUGCACAAUGGGGGAAACCCUGAUGCAGCGACGCCGCGUGAGUGAAGAAGUAUUUCGGUAUGUAAAGCUCUAUCAGCAGGGAAGAAGAUGACGGUACCUGAGUAAGAAGCCCCGGCUAACUACGUGCCAGACGCGCCGGUAGUACUCGNGCGGGCGGUCGGUACGGAACGGAACGGCU